RNAcentral lists this ribosomal RNA (371 nucleotides) under Rozellomycota sp. Its description in RNAcentral is "SSU rRNA". It matches the Rfam family "Eukaryotic small subunit ribosomal RNA", at positions 585 to 972 of the family's 1831-position model. Lineage: Eukaryota; Fungi; Rozellomycota. RNAcentral also lists the same sequence under 1 other name. The record is from RNAcentral.
CCAGCUCCAAUAGCGUAUAUUAAAGUUGUUGCAGUUAAAAAGCUCGUAGUUGGACUUUAGGCAAGGCAACCUGGUCACCCUUUGGGUGUACUGGAUUUGCUGCGCCUCACCUUCGGGGAGCUAGUUGUGCUUCGGUGCACUAGGGAACCGAGCCUUACCUUGAGGAAAUUAGAGUGUUUAAAGCAGGCUUAUGCUUGAAUACGUUUGCAUGGAAUAACAUGAUAGGACUUUGGUUCUAUUUUGUUGGUUUGAGGACCAAAGUAAUGAUUAAUAGGGACAGUUGGGGGCAUUAGUAUUCAAUAGUCAGAGGUGAAAUUCUUGGAUUUAUUGAAGACUAACUAAUGCGAAAGCAUUUGCCAAGGAUGUUUUCA